Molecule: ribosomal RNA, 253 nt
Filed under: uncultured bacterium
Lineage: Bacteria
Description: partial 16S ribosomal RNA
Rfam family: Bacterial small subunit ribosomal RNA
Source: RNAcentral
UACAGAGGUCUCAAGCGUUGUUCGGAUUCAUUGGGCGUAAAGGGUGCGUAGGCGGCGCGGCAAGUCGGGUGUGAAAUCUCGGAGCUUAACUCCGAAACUGCAUUCGAUACUGCCGUGCUUGAGGACUGGAGAGGAGACUGGAAUUUACGGUGUAGCGGUGAAAUGCGUAGAUAUCGUAAGGAAGACCAGUGGCGAAGGCGGGUCUCUGGACAGUUCCUGACGCUGAGGCGCGAAGGCCAGGGGAGCAAACGGG